This is a non-coding RNA of Python bivittatus (Burmese python), 382 nucleotides long. NCBI's taxonomy places the organism in Eukaryota, Metazoa, Chordata, Lepidosauria, Squamata, Pythonidae. The record is from RefSeq and is a predicted model, not a curated record.
CAGGUGAGCAUGCGCGCGGAUUUAGCUCACCAUAGCAACCAGGGCAGGAGACUGUAGCAACUAGAAUCCUAACAAUGGAGGGGUGCUCAUGUGAAGAGCAAUCUGCAUAAUUAAUGCAAAUUAUUCAUAAUCUAAGAGUUAUCUGACCAUCGGAAGUCACCUUCAGUAGAAUGGCAAAAGCAACAACUAUCAAGGAAGCUCUAGCCAAAUGGGAAGAAAAAAAUGGUCAGAAGCCAUCGGAGGCCAAGGAAGUGAAACUCUACGCUCAGAUUCCCCCUAUAGAAAAGAUGGAUGCAUCUCUUUCUACUCUUGUUAACUGCGAAAAGCUGUCUUUAUCUACAAACUGCAUUGAAAAAAUUGCCAACUUAAAUGGGCUAAGUAA